CUGUCAAGUCGGAUGUGAAAUCCCCGGGCUCAACCUGGGAACUGCAUUCGAAACUGGCAGGCUUGAGUCUUGUAGAGGGGGGUAGAAUUCCAGGUGUAGCGGUGAAAUGCGUAGAGAUCUGGAGGAAUACCGGUGGCGAAGGCGGCCCCCUGGACAAAGACUGACGCUCAGGUGCGAAAGCGUGGGGAGCAAACAGGAUUAGAUACCCUGGUAGUCCACGCCGUAAACGAUGUCUACUUGGAGGUUGUGCCCUUGAGGCGUGGCUUCCGGAGCUAACGCGUUAAGUAGACCGCCUGGGGAGUACGGCCGCAAGGUUAAAACUCAAAUGAAUUGACGGGGGCCCGCACAAGCGGUGGAGCAUGUGGUUUAAUUCGAUGCAACGCGAAGAACC
Molecule: ribosomal RNA, 391 nt
Filed under: Salmonella enterica
Lineage: Bacteria; Pseudomonadati; Pseudomonadota; Gammaproteobacteria; Enterobacterales; Enterobacteriaceae
Also listed under: 1 other name
Description: bacterial SSU rRNA
Rfam family: Bacterial small subunit ribosomal RNA
Source: RNAcentral